This 77-nucleotide transfer RNA is filed under the name Caudoviricetes sp. RNAcentral's name for it is "tRNA-Pro". It matches the Rfam family "tRNA". From Rfam's summary of the family: Transfer RNA (tRNA) molecules are approximately 80 nucleotides in length. Lineage: Duplodnaviria; Heunggongvirae; Uroviricota; Caudoviricetes. The record is from RNAcentral.
CGGAAUGUGGCUCAGUUUGGUAGAGCAUCUGGUUUGGGACCAGAGGGUCGCAGGUUCAAAUCCUGUCAUUCCGACCA